RNAcentral lists this long non-coding RNA (38594 nucleotides) under Citrus sinensis (sweet orange). RNAcentral's name for it is "long non-coding RNA (CSIN_LNC001263)". Lineage: Eukaryota; Viridiplantae; Streptophyta; Magnoliopsida; Sapindales; Rutaceae. The record is from RNAcentral.
AUAUAAGGAAUUUCUCCCUAAAGAGAUGCAGAGAAAUAGAACACCAAAAUAACACUAAAAAGUUAGCUUGACAGCAUAAACAAUAAGCAAUGUAAGAGUUAUUUUGGAAAACCACAAGAGAAAUAAAUUUCCUGAUAGCUAAAAUAAAUUUCCUAGAUUAGCCAGGCAGUCAGCAUCAUACAAUAAAAGAACCCAUUUGGAAGACAAUUAAUUACUUGCUAUAAUGGCUCGGAAAUUCCGAGCACAGUGACCUCAGCUUCCACCACGCAAACGCCAUUCACUAGAAAUCUAGUCUCUGGCUCAUCUAACUCACCCAAUGAAACGAAUCUUGGCCGGCCCCAGUUAUCGCUUGGUGUAUGGAACCAGUCUUUAUUCUCUGCUAGAGUAAAAGGAACAUUCUCGUUAUAUUAAUGGGACUUGCCUCAAAAACUAAUUGCAGGUAAACACAGACAUUUUACCUUGAAAAGAUUUAUGUUUUGCCCCCACUUGAUCUAUGAUUCGCAAUGUAUGCUCUACAUAUAUGCUUUAGUCGCCUCGACUGCGGAAUCUCCCAAAGCCAAGUACAGAGAAAGAUGAUCGCCAUCACCACAGCCGUUUACAAUCUGGAGGAAUGUGCUUCACAAACAAAGAAACAAACAGACACUACCAGAAGCAACUAUGCAGUUACUGGUUCAGAAACACAAAACCUAGAGUCACUGAAAAUGGAUAGAACAAUUACUAUCUUUGAGUAAAGAAGCAAAACAACUAAAACCUAGCUUUGCCAGCUUUUGCGGCACGCAGCCCUUCAGUAAUUAGUGCAUCAAGCUACAGGUCCAUAACUCGCGUGUAUGAAUUUGAAAUUUAGGAGUCCAAUAAUGCAAGCGGUUUGAGUGAGAUAUUAUAACUGAAUUAUUGGCAAUUAAAACUUCAGGAAGUAACGGGUGUCUGAUAAGCUUCUACCUUCACAUUUGCAGCAACCACUGCCUAAUGUCCUUUUGUAGGACUCCAUCAAACCCAUUUCUAUUGUAGUUCAAACUCAACUGAUCAGAUCCAUUUGUCUGAAGAUGCCUAUACUGGGUUAUGGUUCCCGCAGGCCUUGGAUGCCGCAUCAUCAUGGCAAUGGUAGAAAAGGGUAGUUUAGGCCAUAUAUUUUUUGAUGAGCUAAACAGAUGUAAAUCAGAUUCCUUGUUUCUGGAUGUUUGGACUCCAGGAGUUUUUGGAUUGGAAGACUUCAUUCCAUGGUUGGUCAUGUUCAUGCUGGGGCCAUGUGGCAGUUUCUCAGGGGGACCAUGUAUCUGGGCAGAUGGUUUCAUACGGUCAAGCCAACGUAGAAUCCAGUUACCAACAUUUCUACCAACUUCUAUGUCCCUCUGUUGUAUGUUCCUAUGAAACUUGAGAGCAAUAUCAAAGGCAGCACGUACUCAGCUGUGGAAAAAAUCAAUGAAGAAUGAAGGUCAGUCUUCAAAAACAAUGGCAGUUCCAAGUUGGAGUAAUAAAUUUGUUAUUAUGCAAAACAAUUGUAGAAAUAACAGUAUUUGCCAGCUAGUAAUUGACAUAACAGCAGUAGUUAAACAGUAGAAUGGAAUCCAAUGAGCCAACCAGAGGGAAGAAUGCAAAGCUCGGGCAGUACCGUGGUCAGUAUCACACUGAGACUCUAACAGUGGAGGAUGUCCAAUUAUUGGUUUCAUAAUGCAUACUAAAUCAAUUCAAAGUCCAAAGUAUAGAAACAAUUAACUAAUUUAGGAUUUCAAUUUUAUGCAGAGGGUUUCAUGAAUAAUUACAACUGGAUCGGAAAGAUUCUGGAGCAAAAAAAUGUGCCCUGGUAAAUUACUGUCAUGAAGUAAAUAACAUCCUACAAAUAAACAUCAAAAUAUAACGGCUCAUUAAAAAGAAAAGCACAGAAGAACUUUCAAUCUAUCAUUUCAAAACAGUCUCUUUGAACUAAACAAGAGUACAGCUAUGACCUCCAGCUUUGGACGUUAGUACUUGUGCUUCUCCAAAAUCUUCACAUCACCUAAAGAGAGACAGCAAAGGUUUCUCAGGGGGACCACGUAUAUGAGCAGAUGGUUUCAUUUAGUCAAGCCAACGUAGAAUCCAGCAUUUCUACCAACUUCUAUGUCCCUCUCAUGUAUGUUCCUGUGAAACUUGAGAGCAACAUCAAAGGCAGCACGUACUCGGCUGUGGAAAAAAUCAAUGAAGAAUGAAGGUCAGUCUUCAAAAAACAAUGGCAGUUCCAAGUUGGAGGAGUAAUAAAUUUGUUAUUAUUCAAAACAAUUGUAGAAAUAACAGUAUUUGCCAGCUAGUAACUGACAUAACAGCAGUAGUUAAACAGUAGAAUGGAAUCCAAUGAGCCAACCAUUGGGAAGAAUGCAAUGCUCAGGCAGUACCGUGGUCAAUAUCACACUGAGACUCUAAGAGUGGAGGAUGUGCAAUUAUUGGUUUCAUGAGGCAUACUAAAUCAAUUCAAAGUCCAAAGUAUUGAAACAAUUAAUUAAUUUAGGAUUUCCGUUUUAUGCAGAGGCUUUCAUGAAUAAUUACAACUAGAUCAGAAGGAUUCUGGAAAAAAGAUAUGUGCCCUGGUAACUUACUUUCAUGAAGUUAAUAACGUCCUACUAAUAAACAUCAAAAUACAACGGCUCAUUAAAAAGAAAAGCACAGAAGAACUUUCAAUCUAUCAUUUCAAAACAGUCUCUUUGAACUAAACAAGAGUACAGCUAUGACCUCCAGCUUUGGACGUUAGUACUUGUGCUUCUCCAAAAUCUUCACAUCACCUAAAGAGAGACAGCAGUUUAAGAAUUUGCUCAUAAUAAUGAAAUUAGUUCUGGUAUCCGAGCAUUGUAGCUUGAUUGGAUAAUAAGUUCACAGGAAUACAUAUGAGACUCUCUAACUGCUUCACCUACAGGUACUACAAGAAGCUGGCAAACAAGUUGCUUUGACAUCAAGGGUUCAACAUAAUGCCAAAACAGCAAAAAACAUUUUGUUAAAAGUUUGGUAUAGCAAAUCUAAAAGAUAAGUUGAUUCAAAUCCCAUUAUGGUGCCACAGAUAAAACUAGUUGGAGGUUUGCAAAACUUUGCAAUAGAAAUUAGGCACCAAUCUAGUAUGAGAGAACGCAGGUUGCAGUUGCAGAUAUUCAACAAUCAACUGAGUUGAUAGUAACUUCUCUUAAUCUUUUAAGGAUUGGCUUUGCUCCAUAAUUGGUUAAAUCACAAAUUCAGCAACCUAGCCUAUCCAAUAUGUCAUAAGAUCACAGAUUUAGAAGCUGAUUUUAUUAUGAAAUGCACAGGGCCAUUCUAAGUCAGAUAGGAAUGAAUAAUUGCUUUCAGGGAAGAGCUCAGUGGUCUCUCAUAUUGCACAUGAUAUCAAGUCAAUGUGAACUAUUCACAUCAGUUUACAUCCAAGCUGAAGUAGAAGUGCCAGGAUGCACAAUGAACUAGUUGAAGUAGCAAACUAAAGUUUUUCCCUUCAUAUUCCUAUAUAAUUAAGACAGCUAAAAUACAGAUUGGUACUUUGUUAUAGCCGUAUUCAAACACAUAUUUUGACCUCUGUAUAACUAAACUUCAAUGGAGCUCAUUAGAUUGGAAGCAAUAAGUUCAUUGGAAUACCCAAGAUGGGGCACACUCAAACGUAAACAAGCAGAAUACAAUAGGUGCAUCUAGCAAAAACACUUCCAUUUUAAGAGAUGGUCUAACGGCAUGGCACUCAGACAGAAAAUUCAGACCAAGAAUAACAUUUUAUGAACCACCAUCAAAGUAACUUUUCAAAGAGAGGAUUAAUACAUAGGCAAAGACCAGCUAUCAUUAUUGUGGACACAUAGUCUAAGACAAUCCCAUGCCGUAGGAUGCGUGGCUGCAAUAUAUUGAACUCAGAUUUGACAAAAUCAACUCCACACAAUCCAUCAAAAUCCCAUUGAAGAAGCAUAAGAAGGUAGAAAUUUCAGCUGAAAAGUGUUUGAAGAAAGAGAAAUAGAAGAGAGAACAGUAAAAUAGGUAGUGAGAAGAGAGAAUACAAGGGAAGAGCAAGGAGAAAUUCUAUGAAUCAUUGACCCCAAAAGAAAACCAAAAUCCAUGCAAUGCCUCCCAAAAGAGCAUACGCUUUUAUGGUUUUUGACAGCAUAGGAUUGCUCCCUAAGGAAAUAUAUAAGUACAUAGAAGAUGCCACAAAGAAAGCUCACGUCUGUUGCUUCCUAUAUAGUUACUCCAUGGUUAAGUUCACACAACACUAGUUUCUAUAAGGUAAACCUGGCUUACUUUCACUGCAAUAUAUGAUAUGAGUAGACAACAACACAUAUAUCUGGAUAAACUUUUGAAAUCAGGUUUUCAGGAUCUUUUACAAAUUUGUAAUUUUAUUUACUUCACCCUCUCCCUAUUCUUAGAAAACCUAAAAUUUUGGCUCCUUCUGUCCGUUGCCUUUGCUAAUAAGCCGUUCUCUGUCUAGCCAAGCUGGUAGUAAGCCACAUUAUUACUCCAAGGAAUCAAUUCCUACCACAAUAAAACUACAUUACUCUCCUCUGCUUUCUUACAUUAGAUCUUUAGCAAGCAUCAAUAACCAACUUCCAAAUAACAAACACAACCAUACAGUUAAAUCAAAUUACCAAAAUCAAUUUCGAAAAAUAUCAUAAAAUCGUGAAACAAAGAACAUUGCAUUGCAAUGUAUUGUUAGUAUACCCAUAUCAGUAUCAUACAUAUCAUUAUCAACACCACCACCACCAUCAUCAUUAUCAUCAUAAUCCUCUUUUGACUCUAAAAUCACCAGCUCUUAUUGUCUUAACGAGCAUAGCUACAGAACCCAUUAAUGAAAAUUAAAACUUGAACUACCUAGCUUAAUCAAUAAAUACACUUCAAAAUGCCCAUUCCCAAUCUGUGACUCAUCCGCUAAUAACCCUAUUGAUAGCUGACCCAUCAAGCUACAAAUUAAUCAGAAUCAAACUCAAAACAAAGUAAUUAAAUAAUAAUAAUAAUAAUAAAACAACACAAAUAUACCGGUGAACAAAUUGACGAAUCCGAGGGUGCUUAGGGCUGAUAACGCGACGCUGAAUCCUCAAAGCAAGCCUGUAAGUCCGCUUCAGUCCCAAGAAAUACGCUGUUCCCAAUGUGAUCUCCCACAGCACCAUUCUCUCUCUUGCUAGAACUCUCUCUCUCUCUCUCACUCUCUCUGAGUCUCUCUCUGUGAGUGUAUUUAUGCACUUCUUUUUUCUAGUUUUAUGUUUAUUUAUUUUGUAUAUUUUUUUAUUAUAUUUUGACGUUUCUUUUCUCCCGAGUUAAAUCUAUGGAUUCUUUGAUUCAAGUCGCCAGAAAGUUCGAUCUUCGUUGCCCAUCACGCUUCGGUCUUGAGUGUUCAACUGUUUAUUCUGUGAGCUUCUGGAAAUUCUGAGGAAUUUAAAUUUUGCACCGAAUACAAAACAUGUGAUGAAAAGUCUAAAAUGCCCUUAUAUUGGAACGGCCAUAUGCACGCCUCUCGGCCUCUGCCUACAGUCCUACACCCAUUACAUAUGGUUGCGCGACCUUUUCUCAAGGUGACAACCAGUCUCGACCUCAAUGGUUACGUAAUUGUGGUACUCAUAUUCCUUCUCGAUCUACGUUUGGUUUUAUUUAAUUAAUUUUUUAAUUGCUCGAAUAUUAUCGAAAAUAUACAGAUUAUGAUUCGACAAUUUUUUAAUUAUUCCAUGACCAUCUAACUAUAAUUAAGCAAUUUAUCUACGUAUUAUAACUAGCAAGGAAUUAAAUUAAAAAAGUCUGUAACUUUUUUUUUUUAAAAAAAGAAAAAAUAACAAAAAAUUGAGAGAGAGAUAUAGCGGGAAAAAAAAAAGGUAUUUAGGUACUUAAGUUGUGUUGUUAUAUUGGAUGAAUGUAUUUCAUAGUAUUUUUUAUGGCAUUUUUAAAAUUUAAAAAAAAUAAUAAUAGAAAAAAAGCCCUCUACAUCUCUUCCAGGUUGAAAUUACCUAGUUAAAUAGAGAAUUUUAUUUUUUAAAAUAAAAAUUACGCCGCCGUUGACCGGCGUUAUCGAUGAUGAUCGCCAUCUUUUAUCGUGUUAAAUACAUAAUAAUGAUAAAAAAAAAUAGACGAUUUACUCAUUGGAAGUGUUAAUUUUGCAUAAAAUACACUAUAUAGUUGGAAAUAUGGGAGUUAAAAUAUUCCCAAAUAUUUAAAUAAGAUUUGAGGUAAAUAACAAUGUAUAUUAGCAUUUCUAACUCCAUAGAGUUGUAGAUCGGCUCACAAGGAUUCCAUUGGUACAUGUUUUGAUAGUGAAAUGCAUCUCCAACGAGUCUUCAGUGACGGUCUGGCGAUUCAACUUAGUGCUUUUUCUUUUUUCAAAUAAAUUAUCCUCUUAAGUUAAGAAAAUAAAUAUUAAUUAUUUGCACUUUAACUUAUUUAAAAUUAAUUUUAUUAGAGAAUAAUAAUGGAAUUUUUGUAUUCCAAUAGAUGAGAAAUUCGAAAUCCUUACCCAUUGAUAAGGAAUACAAAUUCUUCAAUAUGAUGGAAAUUUAAUUUUAAUGAAAAUUCAAUUCUAUUGAAUUUGGUCCAACCAAAUAGUGGAAAGUGAAAAAGAAAUCAAAUUCUUUUCCUCUCCCCACUCCUCUACCCCCAAGCAAACAUGGCCUAAGUGUUAAUUUUCAGAUGAGGCAUUUAAUUAAUUAGAUGAUAUGAGUAAAGAUAUUAACAAACAAAUCAUUUUCAUAUGAUAGAAUUUCUUUUGCAUCAACUAUAUCACACCUGUGUAUUUUUGGACCCUAAUUAGAUAUAAUUAUCCUCAAGUUUGGACGUCUGUCUGAUCAUAGCUUAAAUCCAAACUUGGUAGGGACGUUUGGACCGAAGCACCAUUUCAAAGAACAUACCAACUUGUUUUUCCAUUGCAACAAUUUCCUCCAAAUUACUAUAAUUCUUCAAGUACCUAAACUAGUACCGAAGAAAGUUGAUUAUAAUAAGAUUUUUCUAGGGUUAGAGUUCUCUCGAGAGUAAUAUUUUUCCUUUAAAAUAUCUAAAAGGGACCAUGGUAUAUAGAAGCAUAUCAAGGUUAAGGGUUUAUACAAUUUAAGAGUAAAUUUUCAGAAAGAGUCAAAAUGACUAUUGAUAUUUAUCAAAUUUUGGAAACUGAUGGUUGCAAGAAUGGAAUGGAAAGCUAAGGGUAAAGAAAAGGGGAAUAUAAUGGGGAAAGGAAUAUUGAUUUCUUUAAAUUGUUUGGUUUGGUCAAGGAAUAUUGAUUCUUUCGUUUGGUUACAAAAAUGGAAUGGCAAGGGGAAAGAAAACAACUAUAAUGCAAAUGAAUAAAAAUAUCCUCCACUAGAAAAUGUAUAUUUCAUCGAGUUGAAGCAAUAUCUUAGUUGUUUUGUUUUUUACUACCAAAUAUUAUAUAAUUAACUUGCAAAAGUUAGGUUCAAUUACGUAUUGUGGUUGAGCAGCACUUAAGUGUUUGUUAAAUUUCUUUUUUUAUGUGAUUUGAGAGUUAAGUUUUUUUUUCUCUUAUUUAUAUAAAGGCAUACUUUCAUAUAUGAUAAUUAAGUGCAAGAUUGUGUAAAACACACCCAAGAUUUUAUUUUUAAAAGGGGCUGACACUAAAUUAGGUCUUCUGCUCUAACCCCUACCUUAGAUCUCCCAAAUCCUGCUUUAGAGGACCCCAUCUCUUUCUUCACAAAUUUGGCAAAUUCGUUGCCAAUUGCAAUUGCAUCCAGUUUAGACAUUUUCCCUGAAUGACACUUUAUUAAAACAUCCUUGGAAAAGUAUUUGGAUGCAUAUCCCAACAUUUUAGGAUGAUUUAAUUUUACUAAAUUAAUUAAAAAGUAAGGGGAAUAAAUGAUUUUUUCUGGACUAGAGCCCAGUCUAACCCACGUGUGGGUCUGCCACUAAGUUUACUAGUUGCGACUAUAAAGCGAAAUACAAAGAGGACAAAAGCAAUAGUGAAUUAGAUAUCUCAUGCUAAACCCAUAAGGCGGCAUCCGCAUGUAAUCUCCAUGUGGAGACUUAAGAGCCAAUUAACCACCAAUUAUCGAGCGUCAGCAACUGAAUUUCUUUGCCAAAAGAGGUGGGUCCAAUGAGAUCAACUCUUAUUAUAAGAUAUAAAAUUAAAAAUUGGCAUCCCAAUUUUCUUGCAAGAGUCACAAUGCUUAUUAGAAUAUAUAUUACAGGGCUUUGGAAAUUCCAAGCACAGGCAUCUCUGCUUCCACAAUACACACAUCAUUCACAAGAAAACCAUUUCCUGCCUUGUUCAGGUAAUUGAGUUCAACAAAAUUUGUCCAACCCCCAAAUUUAUUUGAGGUAUUUAACCAUUCUCCAGCUGCGAACACGACAAUAGAAACCUUGAGUUAUUUGCAUUUAGCUACAAAACUUAUUGAACUGAAUUACCUGUUAAAGUCUGGGUUUAUAAUAAUUUACCUUUUUUUUCAUAAUGCUUUGACAGCAAUUGAUUCCGGAUUCGCAGUGUAAAAUGCACGUAUAUUUUAGAACCACCAGUUAUAGUUGACAAGUCAGUCAAUACCAAGUACAUAGAAAUAUGACUGCCACUAGCUUCUCCCAGUCCUUUGGGAAAGAGUAGUAUCUUCCUGAAGAAAAAUCAAGGGUAAAGUUUAAGUCUCUGCAUUCAAUUGUAUGUAUUAUCAAUACAUUAACUUUCAGAUGUGGCAUUUAGAUUAUUUAUAUGAAUAGAGAAACAAACAAAUUUUAACAAUUCAUUUUACAUUAUACAUUUGAAGAAGUGGUUUUAACAUGAUACAUCUUUUUAACAAGUUGUAUUAUUCAAAACUCAAAAGAAUUUCUUUUGCAUCAGAAAUCUAUUGCAGAGGUACAAAUGAACCUUAAAGUGUUAGCCAUGCUAGGGUCUAGAUUUAGUCUAUGAUAUAUUAGAGUUUAAAUUGCUGUUAAAUGUAGAACUUUGAUCAUAUUUUAAAUCCGAAUUUUAUGAACUCCGAAUGUUCGGAUUUGAACACCAUUUCAGAAAGUAUACAUACCACUUUUGAUCUCCAGCAACGAAUACUUCUGAUUCGUAAAUAUUGUCCGGUAACUUUGAAAAGUUCUUGAUCUUCCAAACAUGCUUAUAAUUGGAGGCAGAUGUCAAUUUCUUCAUGGAAAGGCACUCUCCUGUGCAUUUUUUCGUUUCUUUAACAAAUACUUCUGCUCCAAAAACACACGUAUCUCCCAUAAGAUAUCCAUUCGAAGCAUUAAUAAAUUCUUCAAGCGGGAUGAAUUGAUCAAAACCCCAUUCAAGCUUUAAUCCAUGAAAACGUCUUUGUUUACCCAUGGCAUCUAUCACAUGAAGGUGACCGGCCCAAAUCAUUGGUCAGGUCUCACUUAAAUAAUUCAACACAAAACAAUCAUAAACAUUAUUGAGUGUUUGAGUGUAAUAACUAACCUUGAAGAAUCAAGAACUCGUCUUUCUUCUGAUCAAGCACAAAUAGGCGGAAAAUCACAUAGACUUCCCAACCAAGGCCAAGUGAACUUGUGUCUACCAUAGCCAAGUAGAUUGAGAUGUGGUCUUUCACAUUUUCAUUUUUAUUUCCAUUUGGGUAGACAACAAGUUUCCUGAAACCAUCAUGAAUUCAAAAUAACAUAUUAGAUUAUGAUAUGUAAUUUAGUAAUAAGGUGAUCUGAAUAUAGUGGAGUAUCAAGGAGAAUAAUGGAAGAGAUUGCUGUCCGUAACUUAUGGAGAGUAUCAUGGAGCUUGAGAUUAUCUGAUAAAGGGGAGCUGAGAAAGAGUCAGAGAACAUACCAACUUGGUCUACAAAGUCAUUUUCCAUUGCAGCAAAUUCCUCCAAACUAUUAUAAAUCUUCAAGUACUAAAACUAGUACUAAAGAAAGAUUGAUUAUAAUAAGAUUUUUCAAGGGUUAGAGUAUUCUCUCAAGAGUAAUAGUUGUUCUUUAAAAUAUCUAAAAUGGACCAUGGUAUAUAUAAAGCACCAAGGUUGAGGGUUUAUACAAUUCAACAUUAAAUUUUCAGAAAGAGUCAGAAUAACUAUUGAUAUUCGCCAAGUUUUGGAAACUGAUGGUUGCAAGAAUGGAAUAGAAAGGGGAAUGCAAUGGGGAGAAGGGAUAUUGAUUCUUUAAUUUGUUUGGUUUGGUCAAGGAAUAUUGAUUUCUUUGCUUGGUUGCAAGAAUGGAUGGUAAGGGGCAAGAAAACAACUACAGUGCAAAUGAACAAGAAUAUGUACCCUCCACUCAAAAAACGUGUAUUUCGACGAGCUGAAGCAAUAUUUUAGUUGUCUAUUUUCUAUUAUCAACUAAUAUAUAAUUAGCUUCCAAAAUUUAAGCCCGAUUUAGGACUAUGUUUCAGCAGCACUUAAGUGUUCUGUAAAUACUUAUUGAUUUAAAUUCAUUUUAUUUUACACUCGUAAGAUAAAAAAAAGUCUAUAGUACCUUACCUAUUGCGACUGGCAGAAUACAGAGAGAAAAAAAAAAGCAACAAUAAAUAAGAUAUCGCAGGCUAAACUCAUAAGAAGGCAUCCCCAUGUAGUCUCCAUGUGGAGACUUAACAACCAAUUAACCGCCAAUUAUCGAGCGGCAACAAUUGAAUUUCUUUGUCAAAAUAUAUAGGUACGAUGAGAUUAACUCUUAUUAUAAGAAAUACAAUUAAAAAACUUGGCAUCCCAAUUUUCUUGCAAGAGUAGCAAUGCUUAUUAGAGUAUAUUACAGGGCUUUGGAAAUUCUAAGCACAGACACCUCUGCUUCAGCAUUGCACACAUCGUUCACAAGAAAACCAUUGCUUGCCUUAUUCAAGUAACUGAGUUCAACAAAUUAGUGCCAGCCCCAAUCUUUAAUUGAGUUCCUAAACCAUGUGCUGGCUGCAGGAACAACAAUAGAAACCUGAAGUCACUACUAGAAAAAUGGCUUUUACUGACACUCCUCUUCUGACACUUUUCUAAAAAGUAUCAGUAGUUACAUAUAUUUGGGUCAUUUUCCGUGUUUAACAGACAAGUUCACAAGUUACUAAUUCUAUGGUGUUUGUAGAUUAAACAUAAGAGAUUAUCGACACUAUGGUAUCAGAAAUAACAACAAAAAAGUCUAUUUUUGUUUUAAUUGCUACUCGAACCUAAGACCUCAAAACUGGAGUGCUUUAUGUUCAAACAACAAACCACCAGGCCAAAUUCGUAUUUUAGUUUAUGUUGAAAAUGUUCAAAUUAUCAUAUUAAAAUAACAACAAUAUAAAGCAAAAGCAAAAAACCCUAAAAUCAACAUAAACAUAAAAUUCUCUAACUUCUAAUUCUAUGGCCAGCCGCCUCAUCUCUCUGGCAAGAUCCUUCUUCUUCUUCGUACCUCUAAAAAUUCUCCCCUUCGAGCCCUAAAAUUCAAGGGUCCAUGCCAUGGGAAAUCCUAACAACAUUGCUCAAAUUCUAAGACCCAUACCAUACGAAACCCUAACGAGCUACAUGAGGUUGCGAAACAUCCACCAUGCCACUAUGCCACAAGCUCAGAAGAUCCUCUUUAGAUCUCCACAUUUUGCUCACCCUACUCAAGUGCGCACCGCCCCUCUCGCUUCGACUUCUCGGGAUUUCUUGUUAGCUGAACUUUUGUUUUCUUCUGCUAAUUUGAUCUUCGACUGCCGUAUGGUUAGAUCGGUUCGCUUGGACUCCAUCAUGAUGGACAAAUCAUGUGCGAGGCCUAAGACACUGUUGUUAAAGGUCGAAUCACUAUUUUAGCCUCAAUUGAGAUUUUAAUUUGUUCAUCUAAUUGGAAAAUUAAUGCUUUGAAUUGUAUUGUGUUAAUUUCUUUGGAUAUGCUUAACUGAAUUAUUGCAUACUCAACUAAAUUAAAGGUUAGAUCAUCAUUUCUUAGUUCAAUCUGUAGUUUUAUUUUUUAAUUUUUAGGUGGUAGUUUGCUGAUGUAUUAACUUUAUACUUGUAUGAAGGUAAAUAGAAUUGCAUUGGCUAGGACUCACAGAACAUGUAAUUAAUCACUGUAAAUUGAUUCUUAAGCUAGUUUCCUGAAGGCACUAACAUUGGGUAAAGGUUUUUCAUGUUUAGAUAAUUUCAUUCAAAUUGGAUUAAUAUACCCUAGCGUAGCUAGUUCCUGUGCGACUUAUUGACACGAAAGGACAAUUUAAUUCAAAGUGAACUAAUUAAGCAAGCUUUUCUUUUUAAUUUAGGUUAAUAUGAUCAAGUUGAGGUUAUCAUCUAUUUAUGAAUAUCAUUUCUUCCAAACGAUUAUUUCCUUAUUCCUCUAAUGUGUUCAGUUGGAUACUAAUACUUUCUACAAUGAGUUAUGGAAGAUUGCUCUGAAAGCGAAGACUUUGGCAGUGUGAUUGUUGUCGAUAUUAGGGAAAUCCAUUAUGCUUUUGUGGAAUUUGUGGAGCUUUGAUUACAACUUAUGUUAUUUCUCUUCUCGUGUAGGAAAUAUGAUCAUAUAGUUUCAUAUUUACAAACUCUUUCCAUAUGUUAUUGUACCAUUGAGGCUUACACAAUGACACAACUUAAAAACUUUUAAAAUAGUGGAGAAGAUCAACUUUUUGUUUUACAAUAACAUAAUGUUUCUAGUAGUUAAUUUUAUUAUCUCUUGUCUUCUUGCAAUUUAUUGGAACUAAUUCUUAAUUUCAAUAUGAGGUAUUUUCUUCGAUUUGGUUUCUAUCAGCAUGAUCUAUGUUAACAUGUUACAGACCAUGUCACUGUUAGAAGUGGUGGCCCUGGGGGCCAGAGUGUGAACAAAAGUAUGCUAUUCACUUUUUCAUUUUCACCUAUAUUCCCUUACAAACUUGGCCUCACGACUUCUACCAAGGUUGCUUUUAUUUAAUCUUACAGCGAACAUUAAGGUUUUUCUGUUGAAUAUCAUAAAAAUCAUAUUUCUUUUAUUUUAUAUGCAGGGGAUUUUGACAACUCUGUCUAGGAUACAAGUAUGACUAUGUGACAUAUCCAUUUCUUGUUGAAGUUUUCAUGGUAAUUCUAAUUCUGUGGCUUUGGUUGGUGAUCUUUUAGCUUAAUGAGUUAUUGCAUUUUAAAACUUUAAUGCUAUUUAAAACCUCUAUUUUGGUUGAGUGUGCAUUUCUUUUACCUAUUAGCUCUAAUCAAUCAUCUCUACACGAUUUAACAGAUAUGCACUUGCAUACUUUCUUAACCUGUGUUAGUUUACUAUAAAAUUUUGCCUUAUAUAUUUAAAGGUUUUGUUUUAUCUUUAUUUAUAAUUACUUUUUUCUUUCUAUAUGGAAAACCCUAAUUUUGAUUUCCUUUAGGGUUGAAGUUUUUGGUUGGAGCUGGGCUUUAUGAAAGAAAGCACAGAAGAACUUUCAAUCUAUCAUUUCAAAACAGUCUCUCUGAACUAAACAAGAGUACAGCUAUGAUCUCCAGCUUUGGACGUUAGUACUUGUGCUUCUCCAAAAUCUUCACAUCACCUAAAGAGAGACAGCAAUUUAAGAAUGUGCUCAUAAUAAUGAAAUUAGUUCUGGUAUCCGAGCAUUGUAGCUUGAUUGGAUAAUAAGUUCACAGGAAUACAUAUGAGACUCUCUUACUGCUUCACCGACAGGUACUACAAGAAGCUGGCAAACAUGUUGCUUUGACAUCAAGGGUUCAACAUAAUGCCAAAACAGCAAAAACAUUUUGUUAAAAGUUUGAUAUGGCAAAUCUAAAAGAUAAGUUGAUUCAAAUCCCAUAAUGGGCACACAGACAAUCUAGAAUGAGAGAAUGCAGGUUGCAGUUGCGAAUAUUCAACGAUCAACUGAGUUGAUAGUAACUUCUCUUAAUCCUUUAAAGGAUUGGCUUUGUUCCAUAAUUGGUUAAAUCACAAAUUCAGCAACCUAGCCUAUCCAAUAUGUCAUAAGAUCACAUAUUUAGAAGCUGAUUUUAUUAUGAAAGGCACAGGGCCAUUCUAAGUCAGAUAGGGAAGAAUAAUUGCUUUCAGGGAGGAGCCCAGUGGUCUCUCAUAUUGCAUAUGAUAUCAAGUCAAUGUGAACCAUUCACAUCAGCUUACAACCAAGCUGAAGUAGAAAUGUCAGGAUGCACGAUGAACUAGUUGAAGUACUAUUCUAAAGUUUUUCCAUCCAUAUUCUUAUAUAUUUAACGCAAAUAAAAUACAGAUUGGUACUUUGUUAUAGUUGUAUUCAAGCACAUAUUUGGCCUCUGUACAACUAAACUUCAAUGGAGCUCAUAAGAGUGGAAGCAAUAAGUUCAUCGGAUUAGCCAAGAUGGGGCACACUCAAAAGUAGACAAGUAGAGUACAACAGGUGCAUCUAACAAGAAAACUUCCAUUUUAAGAGAUGGUCUAGUGGCAUGGCACUCAGACAGAAAAUUCAGACCAUGAAUAACAAGUUAUGAACCACCAUCAAAGUAACUUUUCAAAGAGAUGAUUAAUACAUAGCCAAAGACAAGCCAUCAUAAUUGUGGACUGUUCAAAGAGAUGAUAAUACAUAGGCAAAUACAAGCCGUCAUAAUCGUGGACACAUAUCCUAAGAUAAUCCCAUUCCGCAGGAUGCAUUGCUGCAACAUAUAGAAUUCAGAUUCGACGCAAUCAACUCCACAUAAUCCAUCAAAAUCCCAUUGAAGAGGCAUUAGAAGGUAGAAAUUUCAGCUAAAUUUUUUUUGAAGAAAUGGAAAUAGAAGAAAGAAUCGUACCAUAGGUAGUGAGAAGAGAGAAUAGAAGGGAAGAGCAAGGAGAAAUUCUAUGAAUCUUUGACCCCAAAAGAAAACCAAAAUCCAUACAAUACCUCCCUAAAGAACACACGCUUUUAUGGUUUUUGAUGGCAUAGGAGUCUGCUGUACCGUACAUCCGCCUUGGCCGUACAGCAGACUUACUCAAGUCUGUAACAUUGCCAUGGCUAAAUAGAAAUUUCACUUUCCUUGCCAAGUGAAAGAAAGGAGGAAUUUUGAUGUAAUCAAUGCUUGGUAAGGUCUAGACAGUAGUAUCAAUCAUACUUCCUAUGUACAAAAUUUUCUUCACUUGGUGUUGGAAGCAAUUGUUAUUGUUGCAGUCCUGUUUUAUUUAUACCUAGAGCAGGUUCAGGAUUGAGAUGUUGUUAAUAUUUUGGUUUAGUUAAUUAUUGAAAUUCAUAUUCUUGUCUUAAGAACCAGUUUCAAUGACUUUGUUUGAAUGUUCAAAUAUUUGUGCAGGAUAUUCGUAUGCUCUAAACCUUCUGUAUAUAUUUCUCAACUUUUGAUGAGCUUACAAAGCAUGGACUCUGUAUUCUGAUUGCUGCAUGUUUCUACUCUUUCUUCCUUUGUUUUAAAGCAUGAACUCUGUAUUCUGAUUGCUGCAUGUUUCUACUCUUUCUUCCUUUGUUUUAAAGCAUGAACUCUGUAUUCUGAUUGCUGCAUGUUUCUACUCUUUCUUCCUUUGUUUUAAAGCAUGAACUCUGUAUUCUGAUUGCUGCAUGUUUCUACUCUUUCUUCCUUUGUUUUAAAGCAUGAACUCUGUAUUCUGAUUGCUGCAUGUUUCUACUCUUUCUUCCUUUGUUUUAAAGCAUGAACUCUGUAUUCUGAUUGCUGCAUGUUUCUACUCUUUCUUCCUUUGUUUUAAAGCAUGAACUCUGUAUUCUGAUUGCUGCAUGUUUCUACUCUUUCUUCCAUGUGCAAAGGAAGGAUUAUAAGCCAAUAUUCAUAAAAAUAACCAUUCCAUAGUCAUAUUAUAAGUUAUAAAGUUUAAGUCAAUAGAUUUCACAAUAAUUUGUAUGCAACCGUAACUGCAAUUGUGGGAAAUAAAUUAGGAUAAAUAUCAUCUCAACCAUAACUGCCAUUGGAUUAAUUAUAGUCAUAUUAUAAGUUAUAAAGUUCAAUUUAAUGGUAAUUACGUCAUUUUUUUAUUUUUGUUAAAUCAAGUUUUUUUUUUUAUGUUUGAGUUUUGUGUUGUGAAUUUGAUAAAAGUUUAUUUCUGUUAACCAUUGUUUCUCUCACAUGGUUGGAAAUUAACAAGCAAUUUUUUUCCCUUUUCCAUGUAUUCAUUUGCAGAUUUGAUCAAUGUGUUUGAAGUUUCUUUUUCCUCAACUUCACUUGUAUUCUAACCCAUCCACUAUUGAAUGGAGAAUGGAGAAGCUACUGUUGUGUUAACGUAAUUGCACUACUUAUGUUCAAAGAGUGGAGGCAAUCAUCCUUUUCAUUUUAGAUUCUAGAAAUGUUAAAUUUAGCCACAACUAGUAGGCAUCUGAUUAGAUGUGGCAGAAAUUUUUAUGUAUUUAAUUUAGAUUAUUCAGUUAUGAGAGUGAGAUUUCUCAUCUCUUGUUUGUUGGAGUGUUGGAAUUUGUAAUGUGUACUAACGGUAUUUUUAGUGCACUUGAUCCUGGAUUUGCAGUGUGAAACAACGGUAUUUUUAAAACCACAGAGUUACAGUUGAGAAGUCAGCCAAAUACCAGGUGCAUAGAAGUAUGACUGCCAGGUCCUUCUCUCUGUCCCUUGGGAUAGAGGUAUAUCUUCCUGAAAAAAUGAACAAGGGCAAAGUUUAAGUCUCGGCAUUCAAUUGUACAUAUUUACUAAGAGGUUCCACUUUAACAAAUUAUUAAAACAUUAACUUUCAAUUGUGCCAUUUAGAUUGUAUAUAUGAACAGACAAACAAACAAAUUUUUGCAAAUCAUUCAGAGAAGUGGUUUUAACAUGAUGCACCUUUUUAACAAGUUGUACUAUUCAAAUUUCUUAUGUAUUACCAUUAGAAACAUAUCGCACAAGUCUAAAUGAACCUUAAGUAUUAGUCCUGUUCAGGUACAGAUGUCUAGAUUAGGCUAUUAUAUAUUAGAGUUGUGCAUCGUUAUAAAAUGUACAACUUUGAUUAUAGUUCGAAUCGAGAUUUCAUAAACUAUGAACGUCUGGACUUGAGCAUCAAAUCCAGAUUUUGGUCUCCAGCAAUGAAUAUUUCUGAUUCGUAACGCUUUGAGUGCAACUUUGAGAGGUUCUGGAUCUUCCAAACAUGCUUAUAAAUGGAAGCAGUUGUGAAUUUCAUCAUGAAAGGCACUCUCCUUUGCCUUUGUUCCUUUCUUAGCAAAGACUUCAGCUCCAAAAACACACGUAUGUCCUUCAAGAUAUCCAUUCGAAGCAUCGUUAAAUUCCCAAUUGAUCAAAACCUAAUUCAAGCUUCUUUCAUUUCCCAUGGCAUCUAUUUCAUGAAGGUGACCCCAAAUCAUUGAUUAACUCUUAGUUAAAUAAUUAAAUAAGAACAAAAUAAUCAUAAACAUUGUUGAGUAUAAUAAUUGACCUUGAAGAAUCAAGAACUCGUCUCUUUUCUGACCAAGCACAAAUAAAAAUCUAAUAUCUAGUUCACUGUUGUGGACUGUUAUGACCAUUGAUAUUCACCAAAUUAAUUAUCUUAUUUUGCAGUAACAUAUUUUUGUGAAACGUAACAAAGUAGUACUUUAGCUACUGAUCCUUUUUUUUAGUUUAGAAACUACUUCUUUUGAAUUCUUAAACGUCCAUAAAUGAUAUUCCUUUUAUGUAAUAUUAAUUUCUUGCUUUAUUGUACUCAAUUUAUCUUAUCAAUACUUCUCUUUAAUUAAAAACUACGAGUUUUUGUCACCAUCUCACUUGUUAAUAUUUGAUAGAUGUGAUUUUAUUCCAGGAUUAAGAUUGUCAGAGAUUUCCUUCCAGGAUUAAGAAUUAUGUCAAUGAACAAACGUGAUCACAUAAGUUAGCCAUAAAAUCAAUGAAUUUCUUUAUUUCGUGAGAAACCAAGAAGAAUACUUGUUAUUACAAUGCCUCGGAGAUUCUGAGCACAGUGAUCUCAGCUUCCACAACGCAAACGUCGUUCACAAGUGACCCAUUCUCUGGGUCAUUUAACUUACUCAAUGAAACGAAUCUCGACCAACCCCACUUAUUAUCGCCUGGUGCAUGGAACCUUUCUCUACUUCCUAGAGAAAAAGAAUCAUUCUCAUUAUACACAUUAUUUGAAUUCUAUAGCCUCAAAUUAAGUUUAUUAUUAUUAUUAUUUUAGGUUAAAGGUACUUUUAAAAUCAAAAGUUAAAGAAAACUGCUUAGAAAAUCAAAAUCACUCGGUCAAGCUGCCAGUGGCAACUAAAUUAGUUGCGUAUUAAAACAAGCAAUAUGCCUUAAGAAGAUUCAUGCAUUGCCCGAACUUGAUCCAAUAUUCGAAAUGUAAACUCUGCGUAUACUUUAACAGUACUCCGAACUGUGGAAUCUCCAAAAACCAAGAACAAGGAAAGAUAAUCACCAGCAUCGGGCCCAGCUCCCAUGGGUGUAGCUCUGUCUUCCUGAAAACACCGAAACGGUAUUUCAUUAAUUGUACACUCACUGACAACUUUGUCCCAAGAACUCAUUAUUUAUUAUACCUGUAGAAAUUUAAAAAAAAAAUUAAAAUCUUUGAUACCAUUUGUGAUUUCCGUCGUCGAAAACUUGUGAUUCCUCAUAUCCUGCGUCUAACUUUGAAAAGUUCUCGAUCUUCGAAAUACACUUACAACUAAUUGAAAUUUCUUUGAAUUUGUUUCUUUCUUUAACAAGGACUUCAGCUUCAAAAACACACGUAUCUUCGACAAGGUAUCCAUUCGAAGCAUCAUUGAAAGCUCUAAGCGGGAUGAAUUUAUCGAAACCCCAUACAUGCUUCAGUCCAUUAAACCGUCUUUCCUUUCCCAUGAUAUCUAUCAUAUUACAAGCAACCACUCAUUAUGCAUGCAUUCAAUUUUUUUCCUAAUGUUGCAAUAUACAAUUCUGCACACUAAAUUUGAUUUAACCUUGAACUACACAGUAGUUUUCUUGGUUCUGAUUAAGUAAGAACAGACGAAAAACUGCAGAGACUUCCCAAUCCAAAGUAAAUGAACUUGUGUUAUUAAGGAUAAGAAAAUAUAUAUAUGUACCACUUGUAUCCUCCAACUUCAAAUUCUCCUGAUUCAUAUUCCUCUUCUGCUUUUUCCGCAAGUAAUGAAAAUGAUUUUAUUUUUACAAUGAAAUGAGCCGGUGGUAGUGAAGUGUAUCUUGCAAUGGCUAUACAUUUAAGUGAUUUUGUAAUUAACACCGAUUGAUUAGAAAUAAAAAUAAGCUGAAAAUUUUAAUAAUAUUGUCCUCUAGAGAACGUGAGAAAAGGUUGAACAUACAUACCAUCUUUGUUAAACAAAGAUAUUUUCCAUUGCGAAAAGUUCUCCAAAAAGUUGUUGAAUUUUUAUUUUUAUUUUUGGUAACUUUGACAGCACGAAGUCCUUUUAAAUAAAAGAAAAAUAAAAUUACUGGGAGGAGGUACUGCGUUUUAUCUUUCCAAAAAAUUCAUAGAAUCUAGAACACAAAAAUGUGAUGCUUGAAAAUACAAUGAAUAAACAUAAUUUAAGCAAAUAUACAAUGAAUCUUCAUUAAUUACUAAAUUAGGGGAUAAAUAAAAAAAUUUAACAGAAAGCCUAAUGAUUGGACUGUUUACAUCCUACUUUCUAAUUGACCAAACUCGAAAAUAUAAACUCAAUCGAAAUUUUCUUUGGUUUGUACUAAUCUUCGUUACAGCGCUUAGAAAAUUCUAAGCUCAUGUAGCGAUUGUUCAUUUCACAGAUUAUUUUGUGGGGAGAAAUUUCUUGAUUGUUAAUAAUUAAACAUAACAAAUAUAUAGAUAUUAAUCUCAUGUAUAAUAAUGAUCAAGUAUUAAAAUGUACUCCAAAGCUCAAAGCUGAAGUAAGUCUAGAUCGAAAGAAUAUCCCUAAGUUGAAAAUGUAUAAGAAUGUUGAAAAAUACGAUAUUAUUGAAUCCUAAUUAAUCAACGUAAAUAUGCCAAUAUGUUUUUGAACAGGUUGCGGUGGAAAGAAUUCAUAUUGGCUUGCUGGGAUAAUUUUGGUUAGCAUAAUUUGCUUCUAUGGCUACGGAAAGUUACCCUUUCACAAUAUCUCUCUAGCAUUACAUUAUUAUCUGGUCUCAUCUUGAGAGUGGAGAUUCUCGCUGGAGAUCCCAAUAUGAAUCCCGAGCAUUUUAUGUUAUUGUCAUUUCUAACUUUAUUAUUUUUUCCAAUUCCAUAUUGGAUUCACCUGGUAGAAGCAUAAGCUAGCAAACAUGAAAUGAACCAUGAGCAGGAAGUGAGUUUCUGUCGAAUAAUUUUUUUUUUAAUUGCAAAUUGAGUUGGUGGUACUGAUAAGGACAUGUUUUUAGGGGAUAAACAAAAAGCCUAAUGAUUGGACUGUUUACAUCCUGCUUUCUAAUUGACCAAACUCGAAAAUACAAACUCAAUCGAAAUUUUCUUUGGUUUGUACUAAUCUUCGUUACAGCGCUUAGAAAAUUCUAAGCUCAUGUAGCGAUUGUUCAUUUCACAGAUUUUUUUGUGUGGAGAAAUUUCUUGAUUGUUAAUAAUUAAAGUAAACAUAACAAAUAAAUAGAUAUUAAUCUCAUGUAUAAUAAUGCGCAAGUAUUAAAAUGUUCUUCAAAGCUCAAAGCUGAAGUAAGUCUAGAUCGAAAGAAUAUCCCCAAGUUAAUAUUGAAAAAUACGAUAUUAUUGAAUCCUAAUUAGAUCCAACCAAAGCUUUGUGCAUAACAGCCUAGAUGAUAUAUUUAUGUUAAUUAAUUAAUCAACGUAAAUAUACUAAUAUGAUAAUAGCGGUAGUUCAAAAGGUUUGGGUUUCGAAUUCGGAUUACAUUAGGGUUGAGGGGUUGAUUGAAUUAUAUUGCGAAAUGGGGAAAAAAUAGAAAUAAUAAAGAAAAACAUCUUGCAUAUUGAAUAUCUUUUUUCUUUUUUCUUUUUUCUUUUGACGAUAAGUUAACUUAAAAUUUGCCUUAAUUUUAAUCCUAAAAAAUUAAGAAAAUAAAUUAAGUCCUAACUAAACUGAAAACAAAAAUGACUCGAAUACGACCAAUUUGAUUGAUUAUAAUUUGUAAUAUAAUUUUACCAAAACAGAACCAUGAUUGAUUAUUACACCUUGCAUGUUAACAACCAAAAGAUCUCUUUGUUUGAUGAGAAUUUGCAUGAAUUGAAAUUCAAACAUGGGCAAAGUGUUGAUGGAGCAGUGAUACCAGAAAAGAACAUAACCUUCCUCCCUCGCAUAUAAUGUCAAACAACUACAAGACCGCUAGCUAGCUCUUCAAAGUUACUGAAGUCCAAAACAGAGCCACGAUUAUCACUAGCUGAUACAUGAAUAGAAGCAUCAAUUUUGAUUUGAUCACCAUCAAAAUUUCUGAAACAAGUUGAUUGACAAAAGGGAAACUAAAUUCUGCUUGGCCGAAAAUCAUGUGAAGUGGGACCCGAAAACUUAUAACCAAAACCCGAAAGCAAAGUCUCAGAAAUUUAUAAAAAAUGAUACCACCAAGCAUACUAAAGUCAUAUGAGGUGGGUCAUCAACUAGAUAUCACAUGCUAAACCCAUAAGGCGGCCGCUGCAUGUAAUCUCCAUGUGGAGACUUAACAACCAAUUAACCACCAAUUAUCGAGCGUCAACAUCUGAAUUUCUUUGCCAAAAGAGGUGGGUACAAUGAGAUCAACUCUUAUUAUAAGACAUAAUAUUAAAAGUUGGCAUCCCAAUUUUCUUGUAAGAGUCACAAUGCUCAUUAGAAUAUAUAUUACAGGGCUUUGGAAAUUCCAAGCACAGGCACCUCUGCUUCCACAAUGCACACAUCAUUCACAAGAAAACCAUUUCCUGCCUUGUUCAGGUAAUUGAGUUCAACAAAUUUUUUCCAACCCCCAAAUUGGGUUGAGGUAUUUAACCAUUCUCCAGCUGCGAACACGACAAUAGAAACCUUAAGUUAUUUGCAUUUAGCUACAAAGCUUAUUGAACUGAAUUACCUGUUAAAGUCUGGGUUUAUAAUAAUUUACCUUUUUUUUCAUAAUGCUUUGACAGCAAUUGAUUCCGGAUUCGCAGUGUAAAAAGCACGUAUAUUUUAGAACCACCAGUUAUAGUUGACAAGUCAAUCAACCGCAAGUACAUAGAAAUAUGACUGCCGCUAGCUUCUCCCAGUCCUUUGGGAAGGAGUAGUAUCUUCCUGAAAAAAAAUCAACAGGGGUAAAGUUUAAGUCUCUGCAUUCAAUUAUACAUAUUAUCAAUACAUUAACUUUCAGAUGUGGCAUUUAGAUUAUAUAUGUGAAUAGAGAAACAAACAAAUUUUAACAAUUCAUUUUACAUUAUACAUUUGAAGAAGUAGCUUUAACAUGAUGCAUCUUUUUAACAAGAUGUAUUAUUCAAAACUCAAAAGAAUUUCUUUUGCAUCAGAAAUUUAUUGCAGACGUACAAAUGAACCCUAAGUGUUAGCCAUGCUCGGGUCUAGAUUUAGUCUAUGAUAUAUUAGAGUUUUAAAUUGCUGUUAAAUGUAGAACUUUGAUCAUAUUUUAAAUCCGAUUUUUAUGAACUCCGAAUGUCCGGAUUUGAACACCAUUUCAGAAAGUAUACAUACCACUUUUGAUCUCCAGCAACGAAUACUUCUGAUUCAUAAAACCGGUCCUCUAACUUUGAAAAGUUCUCGAUCUUCCAAACAUGCUUAUAAUUGGAAGCAGAUGUCAAUUUCGUCAUGGAAAGGCACUCUCCUGUGCAUUCUUUCGUUUCUUUAACAAAUACUUCUGCUCCAAAAACACACGUAUCUCCCACAAGAUAUCCAUUCGAAGCAUUAAUAAAUUCUUCAAGCGGGAUGAAUUGAUCAAAACCCCAUUCAAGCUUUAAUCCAUGAAAACGUCUUUGUUUACCCAUGGCAUCUAUCACAUGGAGGUGACCGGCCCAAAUCAUUGAUUAGGUCUCACUUAAAUAAUUAAGCACAAAACAAUCAUAAACAUUAUUGAGUGUAAUAACUAACCUUGAAGAAUCAAGAACUCGUCUUUCUUCUGAUCAAGCACAAAUAGGCGGAAAAUCACAUAGACUUCCCAACCAAGGCCAAAUGAACUUGUGUCUACCAUAGCCAAGUAGACUGAGAUGUGGUCUUUCACAUUUUCAUUUUUAUUUCCAUUUGGGUAGACAACAAGUUUCCUGAAACCAUCAUGAAUUCAAAAUAACAUAUUAGAUUAUGAUAUGUAAUUUAGUAAUAAGGUGAUCUGAAUAUAGUGUACAAUUAGGUUUUGGGCCACACCACUUGUAGCCUCCAGCAUCAAAUUCCAAGGAUUUAUAAUUUUCCACGUCAUUCUCCACAAGAGAUGAAAAUGCCUCUAUUUUGAGUAAGAAAUGUGCCGGUGGUACAUGUGAAAUGGAUCUCGAAAUUGCUGUCAAGAGUAAUUUUAACAUUGAUCAGAAAAUAACAGGCUAGAAAUUUUCAAUGCACAUAUAUAAACAUAUAUAGAGAAGGGGAGGUGGGGAAAGAGUCAGAGAACAUACCAACUUGGUCUACAAAGUCAUUUUCCAUUGCAGCAAAUUCCUCCAAACUAUUAUAAAUCUUCAAGUACUAAAACUAGUACUGAAGAAAGAUUGAUUAUAAUAAGAUUCUUCAAGGGCUAGGGUAUUCUCUCAAGAGUAAUAUUUCUUCUUUAAGAUAUCUAAAAGGGACCGUGGUACAUAUAAAGCAUCAAGGUUGAGGGUUUAUAUAAUUCAACAUUAAAUUUCUAGAAAGAGUCAGAAUGACUAUUGGUAUUCACCAAGUUUUGGAAAAUGAUGGUUGCAAGAAUGGAAUGGAAAGGGGAAUGCAAUGGGGGAAAAGGGAUAUUGAUUCUUUAAUUUGUUUGUUUUGGUUUUUUUUUUUUUUUUUUUUAAUAAUGCCACUGUUUUAGUGAAAGACUGCUGUACGGCCAAGGCGGAUGUACGGUACAGCAGAUCUAAAUAUAGCGUACUAUUAGGUUUUGGGCCACACCACUUGUAGCCUCCAGCAUCAAAUUCCAAAGAUCCAUACUUUUCCACAUCAUUCUCCACAAGAGAUGAAAAUGCCUCUAUUUUGAGUAUGAAAUGUGCCGGUGGUACAUGUGAAAUGGAUCUUGAAAUUUCUGUCGAGAGUAAUUUUAACACUGAUCAGAAAAUAGCAGGCUAGAAAUGUUCAAUGCACAUAUACAAACAUACAUAGAGAAGGGUAGCUGGGGAAAGAGUCAGAGAACAUACCAACUUGGUCUACGAAAUCAUUUUCCAUUGCAACGAAUUCCUCCAAACUACUGCAAUUCUCCAGGUACUAAAACUAGUACUAAAGAAAGAUUGAUUAUAAUAAGAUUUUUCAUGGGUUAGAGUAUUCUCUCAAGAGUAAUAGUUGUUCUUUAAAAUAUCUAAAAGGGACCAUGAUAUAUACAAAGCACCAAGGUUGAGGGUUUAUAUAAUUCAAUAUUAAAUUUUCAGAAAGAGUUAGAAUAACUAUUGAUAUUCGCCAAGUUUUGGAAACUGAUGGUUGCAAGAAUGGAAUGGAAAGGGGAAUGCAAUGGGGAGAAGGGAUACUGAUUCUUUAAUUUGUUUGGUUUGGUCAAGGAAUAUUGAUUUCUUUGCUUGGUUGCAAGAAUGGAAGGGAAGGGGCAAAAAAACAACUACAAUACAAAUGAACAAGAAUAUGUACCCUCCACUCAAAAAACAUGUAUUUCAACGAGCUGAAGUAAUAUUUUAGUUGUUCUAUUUUCUGUUAUCAAAUAUUAUAAAAUUAGCUUCCAAAAUUUAGGCCCGAUUUAGUAAUAUCAUUACAAUUUACUAUCAAAUAUUAUAAAAUAUUUUCGAUUAUCAAAUGUAAUGAGCCGGUGGUAGUGAAGUGUAUCUUGCAAUGGCUAUACAUUUAAGUAAUUUUUAAUUAACACCGAUUGAUUCGAAAUAACAAGAAGCUGAAAAUUUUAAGAAUAUUGUCCUCUAGAGAACGUGAGAAAAGAUUGAACAAACAUACCAUCUUUGUUAAACAAAGAUAUUUUCCAUUGCGAAAAGUUCUCCAAAAAGUUGUUGAAUUUUUAUUUUUAUUUUUAUUUUUAGAAACUUGGACCGCACUAAGUCAAUUUAAAUAAGAGAAAAAUAAAAUUACUGGGAGGAGUCACUGAGUUUUGUCUCUCAAAAAAUUCAUAGAAUCUAGAACAUAAAAAUGUGAUGCUUGAAAACACAAUGAAUAAAACUAAUUUAAGCAAAUAUACAAUGAAUCUUCAUUAAUUACUACAUUAGGGGAUAAAUAAAAAAAUUUAAUAAAAAGCCUAAUGAUUGGACUGUUUACAUCCUACUUUCUAAUUGACCAAACUCGAAAAUAUAAACUCAAUCGAAUUUUUUUUUGGUUUGUACUAAUCUUCGUUACGGCGCUUAGAAAAUUCUAAGCUCAUGUGAUUGUUCAUUUCACAGAUUAUUUUGUGGGGAGAAAUUUCUUGAUUGUUAAUAAUUAAAGUAAAAAAAUAACAAAUAAAAAGAUAUUAAUCUCAUGUAUAAUAAUGUUCAAGUAUUAAAAUUUACUUCAAGCUCAAAGCUGAAGUAAGUCUAGAUCGAAAGAAUAUCCCGAAGUUAAAAAUGAACAAGAAUAUUGAAAAAUACGAUAUUAUUGAAUCCUAAUUAGAUCCAUCCACAGCGUUGUGCAUAGCAGCUUAGAUGAUAUAGUUAUGUUAAUUAAUUAAUCAACUAAAUAUGCCAAUAUGAUAUUCAAACAUGGGCAAAGUUUUAAUGGAGCAGUGAUACCAGAAAAAACAUAACCUUCCUCCCUCGCAUAUAAUGUCAAACAGCUACAAGACCACCAGCUAGCUCUUCAAAGGUACAGAAUCCAAAACAUAGCCACGAUUAUCACUAGCUCACUUAUUGCACUGAUUCAUGAAUAGAAGCAUCAAUUUUGAUUUGAUCACCAUCAAAAUUUCUGAAACAAAUUGACCGACAAAAGGGAAACUAAAUUCUGCUUGGCCGAAAAUCAUGUGACGUGGGACCCGAAAACUUAUAACCAUAACCCCGAAACAAAGUCUCAGAAAUUUAUAAAAAAUGAUACUACCAAGCAUACUAAAAUCAUAUGAGGUGGGUCAUCAAUUUUCUCUUCUUUUUUUUUUUCUUUUUCUUUUUUGGCCUUCACGCUCGUUGGUUCAAUUGCCUUCAUACUACCAAAAAAAUGAAUUUUUUGCUCGUUGGUUGCUGCACAAAUUGAAUGUUACCUCCCGACUUUAAUCAAAGGCGAAGAGAUUGAUGAUUAAGAGUAUGUCAUGUGAAUGACAAGUUGUUCUAUCAUCUCAUUGUAGGUUGCAUUAAAAUUUAAUGAGGUAAAAAUUGGUGCGGAUUUUAUUGGGUUUUAUGCCUGUUAAUCAUGUCUCGACUGUUCUUAUUUCUGGAAAGUUUUCCUCGGUCAUGAUUGUUUACGCAAGCAUUAGGAAAAAUCAUAAUUCUUUACCUUAUUGUUUUAUUUACUUCCACAUUGUUGAAAAGAUUCACUUCUUUUGACAUUUAAGCUAUAUCUUCCUCUGUUUUUGAACAGGUUGAGGUGGAAAGAAUUCAUAUUGGUUUGCUGGAUAAUUUUGGUUUGCAGAAUUUGCUUCUAUGGCUACGGAAAGUUACCCUUUCACGUUAUAGUAUUACAUUAUUAUCUGGUCGAGAUCCUAGGCUUUUCCCUUAUUUUAUUUUCAAGUAAUAUUUUGGCGGAGGGAAUCCCAAGCUUUUUUGUUAUUGUCAUUCCUAACUUUAUUAUUUUUUCCAAUUCCAUGUUGGAUUCACCUGGUAGAAGCAUAAGCUAGCAAAGAUGAAAUGAACCAAGAGCAGGAAGUGAGUUUCUGUCGAUUAAUUUCUUCUUCUUUUUUAAUUGCAAAUUGAGUUGGUGGUACUGAUAACGACAUGUUUUUUCUUCAUUAUUUCUUUUAAAUAAAAAACUAAAGCUCCUAUUAUACACAGGAAACGCCAUUGCCUCAGUCCCAGAACAAAAUGGUCGGUACUUUUUUUAUAUCCAUUAAAUGAAUAAAUAUUAAUUUAUAUUUAUAGAAAUAAUAUCACGUUGAUAAUCGGAUUUUUUUUUAUAAAAUAUAGUGGUAGUAUAAUUAAAGAAUUUAGUGAUUCUGAGCUAGUAUAAUUAUAAAAUUUAGUGAUCUUUUUUUUUUCGAGUAAAGAAAUUUAAUGAUUCUAAAGUAGUAUAACGACAGAAUUUAGUGAUUUUAUCAUGUUGUAUGAUAGGAUUUUAAUUCGAUCUUGAUUGAGUGAAUCAAUCAUUUGAUAAUUCUUUGGUUAGAUUGUAUAGUUGGAUCACAAUUACAUGGUAACUCAUCAACUGAGAUUUUUUUGAGGCAAUAGAUUAAAUCUCUCUCUCUCUUAUUUUUCUUGCCACAACACAUAUGAUACAACAAUAACUUCUCAAUUGAAGAGUGUAAAAAAAGUAAUACUGAUCGAUAAAAUACAUAAAGCAUUAUGCCAGUACAACAAAAAAAUCAUAAACAUAUCAUAUGCAUUUAGUUUUAAAUUAAUUAAUUAUUAAUACAUGUAUUAAUUGGGUCUUAUAAAAAAAUAUUUUUUAAAAAAUAUAUUAUCUAAUAAAAUUUAUCAAAUUAUUAAUUUACCAUAUUGACUCUAAGUCAAACUGAAGAAAACUAUUAUUUAAUAGGAGUUAUCAAUUUAUCAAUAUUAAUUCAACGAGGUUCAAUUCUACUUGGUUUUCAUUUUCUUAGUAAGUGAAGUUAUUAGUUCUCUUGCAUCCUAAUUUUCUUCGUUUCACUACUUUUUUUUUCAUUUUUCUUUUUCUUUUAAAUCAAAAUCUUAGAAGAGAAGAAUUACAGCAUAGGGGAUAUAAUGAAUUUCUCCUUAAAGAGAUGCAGAGAAAUAGAACACCAAAAUAACACUAAAAAGUUAGCUUGACAGCAUAAACAAUAAGCAAUGUAAGAGUUAUUUUGGAAAACCACAAGAGAAAUAAAUUUCCUGAUAGCUAAAAUAAAUUUCCUAGAUUAGCCAGGCAGUCGGCAUCACACAAUAAAAGAACCCAUUUGGAGGACAAUUAAUUACUUGUUAUAAUGGCUUGGAAAUUCCAAGCACACUGACCUCAGCUUCCACCACGCAAACGCCAUUCACUAGAAAUCCAGUCUCUGGCUCAUCUAACUCACUCAAUGAAACGAAUCUUGGCCAGCCCCAGUUUUCGCUGGGUGUAUUGAACCAGUCUUUAUUCUCUAAUAGAGUAAAAGGAACAUUCUCGUUAUAUUAUUUGGAUUUGCCUCAAAUACUAAUUGCAUGUAAACACAGAUAUUUUACCUCGAAAAGAUUUAUGUUUUGCCCCCACUUGAUCUAUGAUUCACAAUGUAUGCACUGCAUAUAUAUAUACUUUAAUCACCUUCACUGUGGAAUCUCCAAAAGCCAAGUACAGAGAAAGAUGAUCGCCAUCACCACAGCCGUUUCCAAUCUGGAGGAAUGUGCUUCACAAACAAAGAAACAAACAAACAUUACCAGAAGCAACUAUGCACUUACUGGUUCGGAAACACAAAACCUAGAGUCACUGAAAACGGAGAGAACAAUUACUAUCUUUCAGUAAAGAAGCAAAACAACUAAAACCUAGCUUUGCCAGCUUUCGCAGCACGCAGCCCUUCAGUAAUUAGUGAUCAAGGCUUGAUGAUCAAGCAACAGGACCAUAACUCGCAUGGAUGAAUUUCAAAUUUAGGAGUCCAAUAAUGCGAGCGGUUUGAGUGAGAUAUUUUAACUGAAUUAUUGGCAAUUAAAACUUCAGAAACUAACAGGUGUCUGAAAAGCUUCUACCUUCACUUUUGCAGCAACCACUGCAUAAUGUCCUUUCGCAGGACUCCAUCAAACCCAUUUCUAUUGUAGUUCAAACUCAACAGAUCAAAUCCAUUUGUCUCAAGAUGCCUGUAAUGGGUUGUCGUUCCCGCAGGCCUUGGAUGCCACAUCAUCAUGGCAGUGGUAGAAAAGGGUGGUUUAGGCCAUAUAUUUUUUGAUGAGCUAAACAGAUGUCUAUCAGAUUCCUUGUUUCUAGAUGUUUGGACUCCAGGAGUUUUUGGAUUCGAGGACUUCAUUCCAUGGUUGGCCAUGCUCAUGCUGGGGCCAUGUGAAGGUUUCUCAGGGGGACCAUGUAUCUGGGCAUAUGGUUUCAUUCAGUCAAGCCAACGUAGAAUCCAGCAUUUCUACCAACUUCUAUGUCCCUCUCAUGUAUGUUCCUGUGAAACUUGAGAGCAACAUCAAAGGCAGCACAUACUCGGCUGUGGAAAAAUCAAUGAAGAAUGAAGGUCAGUCUUCAAAAAACAAUGGCAGUUCCAAGUUGGAGGAGUAAAUUUGUUAUUAUUCAAAACAAUUGUAGAAAUAACAGUAUUUGCCAGCUAGUAAUUGACAUAACAGCAGUAGUUAAACAGUAAAAUGGAGUCCAAUGAGCCAACCAGUGGGAAGAAUGCAAUGCUCAGGCAGUACCGUGGGCAAUAUCACACUGAGACUCUAAGAGUGGAGGAUGUGCAAUUAUUGGCUUCAUGAGGCAUACUAAAUCAAUUCAAAGUUCAAAGUAUUGAAACAAUUAACUAAUUUAGGAUUUCCAUUUUAUGCACUAGAUCAGAAGGAUUCUGGAGCAAAAAUAUGUGCCCUGGUAACUUACUUUCAUGAAGUUAAUAAUGUCCUACUAAUAAACAUCAAAAUACAACGGCCCAUUAAAAAGAAAAGCACAGAAGAACUUUCAAUCUAUCAUUUCAAAACAGUCUCUCUGAACUAAACAAGAGUACAGCUAUGAUCUCCAGCUUUGGACGUUAGUACUUGUGCUUCUCCAAAAUCUUCACAUCACCUAAAGAGAGACAGCAAUUUAAGAAUGUGCUCAUAAUAAUGAAAUUAGUUCUGGUAUCCGAGCAUUGUAGCUUGAUUGGAUAAUAAGUUCACAGGAAUACAUAUGAGACUCUCUUACUGCUUCACCGACAGGUACUACAAGAAGCUGGCAAACAUGUUGCUUUGACAUCAAGGGUUCAACAUAAUGCCAAAACAGCAAAAACAUUUUGUUAAAAGUUUGAUAUGGCAAAUCUAAAAGAUAAGUUGAUUCAAAUCCCAUAAUGGGCACACAGACAAAACUAGUUGGAGGUUUGCAAAACUUCGCAAUAGAAAUUAUGCACCAAUCUAGAAUAAGAGAAUGCAGGUUGCAGUUGCGAAUAUUCAACGAUCAACUGAGUUGAUAAUAACUUCUCCUAAUCCUUUAAAGGAUUGGCUUUGCUCCAUAAUUGGUUAAAUCACAAAUUUAGCAACCUAGCCUAUCCAAUAUGUCAUAAGAUCACAGAUUUAGAAGCUGAUUUUAUUAUGAAAGGCACAGGGCCAUUCUAAGUCAGAUAGGGAAGAAUAAUUGCUUUCAGGGAGGAGCCCAGUGGUCUCUCAUAUUGCAUAUGAUAUCAAGUCAAUGUGAACCAUUCACAUCAGCUUACAACCAAGCUGAAGUAGAAAUGUCAGGAUGCACGAUGAACUAGUUGAAGUACUAUUCUAAAGUUUUUCCAUCCAUAUUCUUAUAUAUUUAACGCAAAUAAAAUACAGAUUGGUACUUUGUUAUAGUUGUAUUCAAGCACAUAUUUGGCCUCUGUACAACUAAACUUCAAUGGAGCUCAUAAGAGUGGAAGCAAUAAGUUCAUCGGAUUAGCCAAGAUGGGGCACACUCAAAAGUAGACAAGUAGAGUACAACAGGUGCAUCUAACAAGAAAACUUCCAUUUUAAGAGAUGGUCUAGUGGCAUGGCACUCAGACAGAAAAUUCAGACCAUGAAUAACAAGUUAUGAACCACCAUCAAAGUAACUUUUCAAAGAGAUGAUUAAUACAUAGCCAAAGACAAGCCAUCAUAAUUGUGGACUGUUCAAAGAGAUGAUAAUACAUAGGCAAAUACAAGCCGUCAUAAUCGUGGACACAUAUCCUAAGAUAAUCCCAUUCCGCAGGAUGCAUUGCUGCAACAUAUAGAAUUCAGAUUCGACGCAAUCAACUCCACAUAAUCCAUCAAAAUCCCAUUGAAGAGGCAUUAGAAGGUAGAAAUUUCAGCUAAAUUUUUUUUGAAGAAAUGGAAAUAGAAGAAAGAAUCGUACCAUAGGUAGUGAGAAGAGAGAAUAGAAGGGAAGAGCAAGGAGAAAUUCUAUGAAUCUUUGACCCCAAAAGAAAACCAAAAUCCAUACAAUACCUCCCUAAAGAACACACGCUUUUAUGGUUUUUGAUGGCAUAGGAGUACUUCCUAAGGAAAUAUAUAAGUAAUUAGGAGAUGCUACAAGAAUAGCUCAUGUCUGUUGCUUCCUAUAUAGUUACUCCAUAGUUAAGUUCACACAAAAAUAGUUUCUAUAAGGUAAACAUGGUUUACUUUCACUGCAAUAUAUAACAUAAGUAGACGACAACACUCAUAUCUGGAUAAACUUUUGAAAUUAGGUUUUCAGGAUCUUUUACAAAUUUGUAAUUUUUAUUUGCUUCACCCUCUCCCCCUAUUCUUAGAAAACCUAAAAUUUUGGAUCCUUCUGUCCGUUGCCUUUGCUUAAGCAGUUCUCUGUCUAGCCGCUAUUAAGCCACAUUACUUCUACAAGAAAUCAAUUCCUAGCCACAAAACACUCCAUUACUCUCCCCAGCUUUGUUACAUUAGAUCUUUAGCAAGCAUCAAGAACCAAAUUCAAAAUAACACACACUACUAUGCACUUAAAUCAAAUUACCAAGAUCAAUUUUGAAAAAUAUCAUAAAAUCGUGAAACACAAGAACAUUGCAUUGCAAUGUAUUGUUAAUAUAUCCCAUAUCAGUAUCAUACAUAUCAUUAUCAACACCACGAAUACCACCAUCAUCAUCAUAAAUCUCUUUUGACUCCAAAAUCAACAGCUCUUAUUGUCGUAACGAGCAUAGCUACAGAACCCAUUACUGAAAAUUAACACUUGAAACCACCUAGCUUAAUUAAACCCAUCUGCUAAUAAACCUAUUGAUUGCUAACCCAUCAAGCUACAAAUUAAUCAAAAUCAAACUCCAAACAAAAUGAAAUAAUCAAAUAAUAAUAACAACAACAGUAACACAAAUAUACCGGUGAACAAAUUGACGAAUCCGGGGGUGCUUAGGGCUGAUAACGCGGCCCUGAAUCCUCAAAGCAAGCCUGUACGUCCGCUUCAUCCCCAAGAAAUACGCUGUUCCCAAUGUGAUCUCCCAUAGCACCAUUGUCUCUCUUUCUAGAACUCUCUCUCUCUCUCUGUAUUGUUCGUGUAUUUAUGCACUCUUUUUUUUUGUUUUAUGUUUAUUUAUUUUUGGAUAUUUUUUAUAUUUUGAUGUUUCUUUUCUCCCAAGUAUCUAUGGAUCCCUCGCUUCAGAGAAGUAUCUAUGGAUCCCUUGAUUCGAGCCGCCAGAAAUUUCGAUCUUGGUUACCCAUCACGCUUCGGCCUUAGAGUGUUUAUCCGUGUAUUGUCUCCGGACUUCAUAUGUAUAUAAGAGGAAUUUUUUAGGAUUAUGCCAUCAAUAAAAAUAAAAUUUCCAUAAACAUGACAAAUAUGUGAGGAAAAGUCUAGAAAGCCCUUCCAUUAGAAUGACACACUCUACCCACACCCAUUGGUUAGCUGCCCGACCUUUUUUAGUUGACAACUAUACUCGACUUUAUUUUAACCAAUAGUUACAUAAUUGUGAGACUCAUUUUCAUAUUCGAUCUAUAUUUAAUUUUUUAAUUGAUUUUUAAUUACUCAAAUAUUAUCGAAAAUGAACUAAUUAUGAUUAAAUAAUUUGUUAAUUAUUCCAUAAUUAUCUAAUUGUACUUAAGUAAUUUAUCCAUGCAUUAUAACGAACGAAAAAUUAAACUAAAGAAAGCCUGUCACUUUUUUUAAAAAAAAUUGGAGAGAGAAGGGCAAAAUAGGUUUUUUAGGUAUUGAACUUGUGUUGCUAUAUUGAAUGAAUGUAUUUUAUAGUCUUCGUGCAAUUCACUCGGUCGGAAUCUCAUAUAAGUGAAUAAAGCCGAAAGCAGGCGCAGUUCUGGAAAUUGGCCAUUUUUACGGCAUAUUUAAAAUUCAAAAAAAAAAAAAUCUACAUCUCUUUGAGUUCUCCCGGCCUCAUCUCAACUGUUGGGUUCUCUUUUUUUUUUUUUUUUUUAAUAAUGCCACUGUUUUAGUGAAAGAGAUCUUUUAAAUACACCUCUUCACUUGAAUAAAAAAGGGGUACAAAUAUGUCAAAACAAUAAAAAUGGCAUGAAGCUAAAAGGAGCAAAAUAAUAAUAAGUCAAUGGUAGAAUAAUUAGCAGAACUUCUUCGCGUGUUCACUAUUUCAUUUCUCAAUCUCUUGAAAUAUUUGAUUGAUGGGUAUUUAUAGCCAAUAAAGCAUAUAUAUUCGGUCGUGCAUUUAGCAACAUGUUUUUUUAUUCUUAAGGUGUUAUGUAUAUUAUAUUUCGAGGAGUAUGAUGAUACACACACACAUCAUAAAUCAUGGAGCUGCUUUUGCAACUCACUUCCUAAAGUUAUUAGUGUAAAAUACACAUUCUUUUUACCAAGAGAUGAAUAGAUAUAUCUCAUAACAACAACGAGAAUUUAAAUUAUCACAAUGCUUUUGAAAUUCCAAGAACAGAAACCUCUGCUUCCACAAUGCACCCAUCAUUCACAAGAAAACCAUUGCCUGCCUCGUUUAAGUAACUGAGUUCAGCAAAUCUUGGCCAACCCCAUGAGGACCUGAACCAUAUACUUGCUGCAUGAAACAACAAUAAAGAAAGCCUCAAGUUAUUUGUAUUUAGCUAUAAAGCAUAUAGUUGCAGUAAUAUUGCAUUAAUUCAUGNNNNNNNNNNNNNNNNNNNNNNNNNNNNNNNNNNNNNNNNNNNNNNNNNNNNNNNNNNNNNNNNNNNNNNNNNNNNNNNNNNNNNNNNNNNNNNNNNNNNNNNNNNNNNNNNNNNNNNNNNNNNNNNNNNNNNNNNNNNNNNNNNNNNNNNNNNNNNNNNNNNNNNNNNNNNNNNNNNNNNNNNNNNNNNNNNNNNNNNNNNNNNNNNNNNNNNNNNNNNNNNNNNNNNNNNNNNNNNNNNNNNNNNNNNNNNNNNNNNNNNNNNNNNNNNNNNNNNNNNNNNNNNNNNNNNNNNNNNNNNNNNNNNNNNNNNNNNNNNNNNNNNNNNNNNNNNNNNNNNNNNNNNNNNNNNNNNNNNNNNNNNNNNNNNNNNNNNNNNNNNNNNNNNNNNNNNNNNNNNNNNNNNNNUUCUCUUUUUUUUUUUUUUUUUAAUAAUGCCACUGUUUUAGUGAAAGAGAUCUUUUAAAUACACCUCUUCACUUGAAUAAAAAAGGGGUACAAAUAUGUCAAAACAAUAAAAAUGGCAUGAAGCUAAAAGGAGCAAAAUAAUAAUAAGUCAAUGGUAGAAUAAUUAGCAGAACUUCUUCGCGUGUUCACUAUUUCAUUUCUCAAUCUCUUGAAAUAUUUGAUUGAUGGGUAUUUAUAGCCAAUAAAGCAUAUAUAUUCGGUCGUGCAUUUAGCAACAUGUUUUUUUAUUCUUAAGGUGUUAUGUAUAUUAUAUUUCGAGGAGUAUGAUGAUACACACACACAUCAUAAAUCAUGGAGCUGCUUUUGCAACUCACUUCCUAAAGUUAUUAGUGUAAAAUACACAUUCUUUUUACCAAGAGAUGAAUAGAUAUAUCUCAUAACAACAACGAGAAUUUAAAUUAUCACAAUGCUUUUGAAAUUCCAAGAACAGAAACCUCUGCUUCCACAAUGCACCCAUCAUUCACAAGAAAACCAUUGCCUGCCUCGUUUAAGUAACUGAGUUCAGCAAAUCUUGGCCAACCCCAUGAGGACCUGAACCAUAUACUUGCUGCGUGAAACAACAAUAAAGAAAGCCUCAAGUUAUUUGUAUUUAGCUAUAAAGCAUAUAGUUGCAGUAAUAUUGCAUUAAUUCAUGCACCUGUGAAAUAAGUUUGGGAUAAUAAUUUUUUUAUUUAAUUACUGUUUGCUUCUUUAUGCUUUCCCCGCACUUGAUCCCGGAUUCGCAGUGUGAAGUGCACGUAUAUUUUAAAACCAGGAGUUAUAGUUGAGGAAUCAACCAAUGCCAAGGACAUAGAAACAUGACUGCCGGUUCCACUUUUGAUUCCCUUGGGAUGGAGCUGUAUCUUCCUGAAAAAAUCAACAAGGGUUAAUUUUCAGAUGAGGCAUUUAAUUAGAUGAUACGAGUAAAGAAAUUAACAGAAAGAAUUAGUCAUCCUCAACUUCGGACGUCUACUUGAUCGUAGGCUAAAUCCAAACCUCGUGAAAUUUGGACACCAUUUCAGAAAGUAUAUAUAUACAUAUACCACUUUUGAUCUCUAACAAUGAAUACUUCUGAUUCGUGACGCUUUGCCUCUAACUUUGAAAAGUUCUCGAUCUUCCAAACAUGCUUAUAAAUGGAAGCAGAUGUCAAUUUCGUCAUGGAAAGGCACUCUCCUUUGCAUUUGUUCCUUUCUUUAACCAGUACUUCUGCUCCAAAAACACACGUAUCGUCCACAAGAUAUCCAUUCGAAGCAUCGUUAAAUUCUUCAAGCGGGAUGAAUUGAUCAAAACCCCAUUCAAGCUUCAAUCCAUGAAAACGUCUUCUUUUCCCAUGGCAUCUAGCACAUGAUGAAGUGACCCCAAAUCACGAUUAGCUCUUAGGUAAAUAAUUAAGAACAAAAUAAUCGUGAACACUGUUGAGUAUGAUAAUCAACCUUGAAGAAUCAAGAACUCGUCUUUGUUCUGAUCAAGCACAAAGAGGCGGAAAAUUGGAUAGACUUCCCAGCCAAAGCCAAGCGAACUUGUGUCUGCCAUUUCCAAGUAGAGUGAGAUGUGAUCGUUCACAUUUUUGUUUUCAUUUCCAUUUGGGUAGACAACAAGUUUCCUGAAACCAUCAUGAAUUCAUAAUAAAAUAUUAGAUUAUGAAUUAUAAUUUAGUAACAAGGUAAUCUGAAUAUUAAUUCACUAAGUUUUAGGUCAUACCACUUGUGGCCUCCAGCAUCAAAUUCCAAAGAUUCAUAAAUUUCCAAUUCAUUCUCCACAAGAGAUGAAAAUUCCUGUAUUUUGAGUAAGAAAUGAGCCGGUGGUACGUGUGAAAUGGAUCUUGAAAUUGCUGUCAAGAGUAAUUUUAACAUUGAUAAGAAGAUAACAAGCUAAAAAUGUUCAAUUAAUGCACAUAUAUAAACAUACGUAGAGAAGGGAAGCUGAGGAAAGAGUUAGACAACAUACCAACUUGGUCUACAAAGUCAUUUUCCAUUGCAACAAAUCCCUCCAAAUUACAAUAAUUUCUCGAGUAUUAAAACUAGUACUGAAGACAGAUUUAUUAAGAUAAGAUUUUUCAAGGGUUAUAGGUCUCUCAAGAAUAAUAUUUCUUCUUUAAAAUAUCUAAACGGGACAAUGGCAUAUAUAAAGCACCAAGGUUGAGGGUUUAUACAAUUCAACAUUAAAUUUUCAGAAAGAGUCAAAAUAACUAUUGAUAUUCGCUAAGUUUUGGAAACUGGUGGUUGCAAGAAUGGAAUGGAAAGGGGAAUGCAAUGGGGGGGAAGGGAUAUUGAUUCUUUAAUUUGUUUGGUUUGGUCAAGGAAUAUUGAUUUCUUUGCUUGGUUCCAAGAAUGGAUGGUAAGGGGUAAGAAAACAACUACAAUACAAAUGAACAAGAAUAUGUACCCUCCACUCAAAAAACGUCUAUUUCAACGAGCUGAAGCAGUAUUUUAGUUGUUCUAUUUUCUAUUAUCAAAUAUUAUAAAAUUAGCUUCCAAAAUUUAGGCCUGAUUUUGUAUUAUGGUUGAGGAGCACUUAGUGUUCAGUAAAUAUUUAUUAAUCUAAUCUUAAAGUUAAGUUGAUUUUAUUUCACGCUCGUAAAAUAAAAAAAUCUAUUGCGACUGGCAGAAUACAGAGAGAAAAAAAAGGGGCAACAGUGAAUAAGAUAUCACACGCUAAACCUAUAAGAAGCAUCUCCAUCUAGUUUCCAUGUGGAGACUUAACAACCAAUUAACCACCAAUUAUCAAGCGGCGGCAACUGAAUUUCUUUGUCAAAAUAUAUGGGUACGAUGAGAUUAACUCUUGUUAUGAGAAUAAAAUUAAAAAAUUGGCAUCCCAAUUUUCUUGCAAGAGUAAUAAUGCUUAUGAUUCCUCAUAUCUUGCUUUGAUACCAUUUGUGAUUUCGAGCAUCGAAAACUUGUGAUUCCUCAUAUCCUGCGUCUAACUUUGAAAACUUCUCGAUCUUCCAAACAUACUUACAACUGCUUGCAAUUUCUUUCAUAGAUAGGCACUCUCCUUUGAAUUUGUUUCUUUCUUUAACAAGCACUUCAGCGUCAAAAACACACGUAUCUUCGACAAGGUAUCCAUUCAAAGCAUCAUUGAAAGCUCUAAGCGGGAUGAAUUUAUCAAAACCCCAUACAUGCUUCAGUCCAUUAAACCGUCUUUCCUUUCCCAUGCAAUCUAUCACAUUAAAAGCAACCACCGAUUAUGCAUGCAUUCAAUUUCUUUCCUAAAGAUUCGAGCAAAAUUUUUGCUUUCAAUAUACAAUUCUGGACAUUAAAUUUGAUUUAACCUUGAACUACAAAGUAGUUGUCUUGGUUCUAAUCAAGUAAGAACAGACAAAAACUGCAGAGACUUCCCAAUCCAAAGUAAAUGAACUUGUGCCUGCAAUUGCUAAGUAGAGUGAGAUGUAGUCUUUCACAUUCUUGCUCUAAUUUCCAUUUGGGUACAGAACAAGUUCCUUGUAAUAAUUAAUCGACAUUAAUAAAUAAUACACUAACAUGAUAAUUAAAUUUAAUUACGUCAAUUAAGGACACACACACACGCACACACAUACAUACAUACAUACCACUUGUAGCCUCCAACUUCAAAUUCUCCUGAUUCAUAUUCCUCUUCUGCUUUUUCCGCAAGUAAUGAAAAUGAUUUUAUUUUGACAAUGUAAUGAGCCGGUGGCGCUUUUGAAGUGGAUCUUUCACUAGCUAUUAAAGUAAUUUUAUACACCGAUUGAUUAAUUAGGAAAUAAAAUAAGCAGCUGAAGAUUUUAUGUAUAUUAAUUUGACCAAGAAGAGAAGGAGAGAGAACAGACAUUCCACGGAAAAAAACUCUUCCAAAUAAUUGUCGAAUGCACAUUCUGCCUCGUGGGAAUUCUCGGACGGCGUUUCGCGACCGAAACGGCAGCGUUUCGAGGCAGCUGUCUUUUGAGGGUGGUUCAUGCUAAGUCCGAUGAUGGCUUCAGGAAUGCUCCGCUUGAUACAACUUAGUAGCUAAUAACUUUGUCCAAAUCCCAAAUAAAUAAGAGAAAUAAAUUUAAAUCCAAAUAAAAAUGGAAUUACAAAAACUGACUAAAAAACAAAGGCUAAAUAGGGUAAAUCCUGAUAAAAUAUGAAAAACUGCUUUUAACUAAUAAAAUUCGUAAGUAUCUCAUUUAAAUGUUACAAAUGAUCAAUAAAAUCUCACCCUUAAAAGUUGUGUGCCUUGCCCGCACUUGAUCCAAAAUAUAGAGUCCAAGUUUUGCAUAUACUUUUAACAGUCGAAUAUACCAAAAUCGAGAACAGCAGAUCAGCUUUUUCUUCAUGAAGAAUAUUAGCUUUUUUGCAUUUAUUUUCAUUACAAUAAGUUUCUUGCAACCACCAUGAAUUCAAUGAGAUAUUAGACGGCCGUAGUUCAGUAAUAAGAAAAUCUGAAUAUUAAAUGAAUUAGUCUGACUAUUGAUAUUCAUCAAAUUUCUGAAACUGGGUCAACAAUUUGCUUUUCAUUGUAAUCCAGCGAAGGAAAAAAAAAGUAAUAAUAAAUAAAGUUUGGUAGAUAAAUCAAAAGAAAAUCAUAUAAUAAUAUUCCAUGUGAUUGGAUUAAUUGUUUCAGUUGGUUUCACUGCCUUCGAUUUCUCUCUUACAUCCCAAUUUUCUUUGUACCAAUCACUUCUUUCUUUUUGGAAAUCAAAAUCUUAGAAGAAAGAAGAAUUACUGCCAAGAGCAUAUAAUAAAUCUUCACGUUCAUAGAUGCAUAAAAUUAGAUCACCAAAAUCACACUAAAAGUUAACUGGACAACUGAAACAAUAAGCAACAUAGCUAUAAUUUGGAAAUCCAGGAGAGAAAUAAUUUUCUUGCAAGCUAAAAUAAAUUUCCUAGAUUAGCCAGGAUGGCAGUCAGCAUCACACAAUAAAAGAAC